Long non-coding RNA from Acinonyx jubatus (cheetah), 2669 nucleotides. RefSeq lists it as uncharacterized. Lineage: Eukaryota; Metazoa; Chordata; Mammalia; Carnivora; Felidae. The record is from RefSeq and is a predicted model, not a curated record. The transcript is spliced from 5 exons.
CCUAAAAAUAAAACUGCCAGUUAUUUUACCAGCAAAAACAGGUUUAUUUGGAAUAGCAGAUAACUGCAAUCUGGGACAAGCAAGCUGUGGCAAAACCGCAGACAAAUCCAGAGGACAAAGGUAAGGAACGGACUGCUCUUUUACGGAGGAAAAGGGGGGAGCAGGGAGGGCUGUUCUAGGCAAAAAGUCCAUUGGAAUAAACUGGGAGUUCCAAGUAUAGGGGCCUUUCCUUGGCUGAGCUGUGACAGAAUCCCAUUGGCUGGGCUGUUGCGGGAGCGGAAGGAAAAACCUUCUUCCUCCUGCUGGGAUAGUAAAGUAGAAGCUAAGGCGUUACCAGCUCGCAAGCUACCCCUCUUCCCAUUGGGUCUGCAAUUAACCAAGGGUGGCCUGGCGUGAGAGGUCCCCGCCCCCUGCUGGCUCCUGACUCUGUUUUAAACCAGCUUUCCUUUUAUUAAUUUUCUUCGGGGUCAAUGAGAGAGAGGCCUUGCCGAGAGGGGUGUAAGUCUCUACCUGCUAAACGGAAGAGGAGCUGACCACCACCAGGUUAAGAAAAAAAUACACAUAUAUUACAAGAUGGGUGCCGUCAUGAUUGAAGAGUUUACAUCCAAAGUGGUUCUGAUCGGCUGAUUGUUUCUCCUGCUGCUGCCCAGGUGCGGAAGCAAACAGGCAAAAGCAGGUGGUAGACAUGACCCACAAUCAGGAUUCUCGAAGGCGAUGGAGAUAAAAGGAAAAUCUGCCCUCUCAGAGGAUAAUCAUAUAAAUGAAGAAAGAGUUAUAUCAGAGGUGGUGGACAUUUGGAUUAUUUCCAGUCUGGGGCUAUUGUGAAUAAAGCUACCAUGAACAUCUGAGUAUAAAUCUUUGAGCAGACAGAUAUUUUCAUCACAUCUCUUGGGUAAAUAUCUAGCAUUGAGAUCGUUGGGAUGUAUGCAAAGGAAUAAUGAAGAAUGUCAAGAAUACUCCAUAACCUUUGAAGAGGCUAACAAAAUGUCACACCAGUAUGGCACAUAUCUACAGAGCAAAUUACCGUUCUCUAAAGCAGAAGGGAUCCUUAACGGACUCAAAGGCCGUGAAAUCAGAAGCAUGGCAUGUUUAGAGCAAUGCAAGAGCCUCCAUUAUACACUAAUUCAAUCUCUUCACUUUACAGGAGCAAAGCAGUGUGGAUCUCUCUUUCUGCCCUAAGGAGACUCUGCCUCGAUGCGGCUGGUGUGUGUCUUGUCCUCUCCCUGCUGGAGCCCCGCUAAGUCAUGGAGAACACUUACUGUUCCUGCCUGGGAAUCCCAGCUGCCCAGUCUUCCCUGACCGGACACCCGAUGUACUAUAAGUGAGCCAUAGGGUUUCAUCUCCAUGGAGUCAGGCUGUAACUGUGCCAGACUUUAUCCUCCUACACCCCAGGGAAAGCCUCCCAGACUAGGCCUUCAAAAGGAGGGAGUCUGAUAUAAAUGCCCCCCUCUCCUUCUUCAACCUCUCUCUAGCUAAUGUAGUCUGUCUUUGAAGCCCCCAGUUGGGUGUCCCCAUGCCCACCCAUCCCUCAGGAAAACCCUGCCCUCCCCGUAGGAGGACGUUCCUCCCCUCGGACUUUGGUAGGGACUUGCAAACUUGAGCACCCGAGAGGCUGUGCUUUGCUUAGUCACAGUUGACCCUGGGAGGGCGAGGAUCAUCCCCAGUGUUUGAUGUCUUUGGCAUCCUUAGAAAUGUCCCUAAAAAGCAAUGCACACCUCUCUAAGGUGUGAAACAGGGUGCUGUCGAAAAAAACCACCAGAUGCCCAACAGAAGCAAGGCAAGAUUUUAUCCACGGCCUGGCCAAACCUGAUAUCCCGAUCUUAAGGAGAAAAGUGCCGAGAAUGGCCCCGAACAAAGGUAGCAGUGAGCUUAUAUGGAUUUUAGCAAGUCAGAAUACGUCAUUAUUUAGUUAACCAAUUACAAUUUACAACAUUUCAUGGUAGCCAAUUAUACUGUGACACACAGACGUUAGUUUUGGCGGGAACCUAUCAAUUUAAAGUUCUUUGUCCUAAGAGGAUUUAAAGUGACCAAUCAUAGUUAGACACCUAAGAUACCAUGGGGCAGUGAGUUCGUGACUUUUUACAUGUUGGUCUUGCCUAGGCCAGAUCUGGGUAGAAGGAGUGGGGGAGCGUUUUGCCACCUAAGUUAUCCAUUUAGCAAGCAGGCGAAGUUACAGAAGCGAGAUGGGGUGGUUAGUAAUAUUCGAUAACCCUAAUAGGGAACUACAUAAGCUUUUAUCUCAUUAUUCAUGAAAGGUGAGUUUAAGCCGAACUUACAUACAAUAAGCUUUCUGAUAUCUUAUAAGUUGAUCUAUUACAAGGUGAGCAGUUUUUUUCUCAACUACGAUCACAUACAAGGGAAGGAUUAUUCUUCUUGGAAAUGGUACAUAUUUGACAAAUUGCAAAAGAGUAAUUGUGUUGAGAAAGAAUAGCUUCUGUCCCUUAGAUCUAGCUCACAUGACCAGAGGUGUAGAUGGCUCUCUUUCCCAUCCUCAGGGGUGGUGCCAGCUCUACUUAGAGCCUUCUUUAUUAUAGACCUCCUCCUCCUAGACUAGCUAGAAGGUGAAAGUUUUCCCAACCAUUUAGCAGUCUACAGAGGGAGGAGGUGAGAACUACGUGACAGAGAGGAGAGGAAUGGAGGGGAGAUGCACAGUGACAGUCAAAAUGCCA